UGCACGGAGUGGGAUUUGAACCCACGCACCCAUACGAGUACCAGAACGCCCAAUCCGCUGACUCGCGGCAAGUUAAUUCUUGAGUCUGGCGCCUUAGACCACUCGGCCAUCCGUGC
RNAcentral lists this transfer RNA (116 nucleotides) under Teladorsagia circumcincta. RNAcentral's name for it is "tRNA-Leu". The record is from RNAcentral. Lineage: Eukaryota; Metazoa; Nematoda; Chromadorea; Rhabditida; Trichostrongylidae.